Molecule: ribosomal RNA, 856 nt
Filed under: uncultured bacterium
Lineage: Bacteria
Description: bacterial SSU rRNA
Rfam family: Bacterial small subunit ribosomal RNA
Source: RNAcentral
AGAGUUUGAUCAUGGCUCAGAUUGAACGCUGGCGGCAGGCCUAACACAUGCAAGUCGAACGGUAACAGGAAACAGCUUGCUGUCUCGCUGACGAGUGGCGGACGGGUGAGCAAUGUCUGGGAAACUGCCUGAUGGAGGGGGAUAACUACUGGAAACGGUAGCUAAUACCGCAUAACGUCGCAAGACCAAAGAGGGGGACCCUCGGGCCUCUUGCCAUCGGAUGUGCCCAGAUGGGAUUAGCUUGUUGGUGGGGUAACGGCUCACCAAGGCGGCGAUCCCUAGCUGGUCUGAGAGGAUGACCAGCCACACUGGAACUGAGACACGGUCCAGACUCCUACGGGAGGCAGCAGUGGGGAAUAUUGCACAAUGGGCGCAAGCCUGAUGCAGCCAUGCCGCGUGUAUGAAGAAGGCCUUCGGGUUGUAAAGUACUUUCAGCGGGGAGGAAGGGAGUAAAGUUAAUACCUUUGCUCAUUGACGUUACCCGCAGAAGAAGCACCGGCUAACUCCGUGCCAGCAGCCGCGGUAAUACGGAGGGUGCAGGCGUUAAUCGGAAUUACUGGGCGUAAAGCGCACGCAGGCGGUUUGUUAAGUCAGAUGUGAAAUCCCCGGGCUCAACCUGGGAACUGCAUCUGAUACUGGCAAGCUUGAGUCUCGUAGAGGGGGGUAGAAUUCCAGGUGUAGCGGUGAAAUGCGUAGAGAUCUGGAGGAAUACCGGUGGCGAAGGCGGCCCCCUGGACGAAGACUGACGCUCAGGUGCGAAAGCGUGGGGAGCAAACAGGAUUAGAUACCCUGGUAGUCCACGCCGUAAACGAUGUCGACUUGGAGGUUGUGCCCUUGAGGCGUGGCUUCCGGAGCU